This is a long non-coding RNA of Papaver somniferum (opium poppy), 2560 nucleotides long. RefSeq lists it as uncharacterized. Lineage: Eukaryota; Viridiplantae; Streptophyta; Magnoliopsida; Ranunculales; Papaveraceae. The record is from RefSeq and is a predicted model, not a curated record. The transcript is spliced from 9 exons.
UUCAUUUCACCCAAAUCCUAGCCUACCCGCAGCAGAAAAUACCUUCUCCUUGAACACCACCACGAACCAGAACUCGAUAAAUCUUCCACCUCUCUGAAUUUUGUGAAGUUAGGGUUUGAUUUUUCAAAAAAAAUCAGGUUGAUUUCUCAAUUUGGUGCGGCUAUUAGGGAUUGAUUUUAUAAACUUCACAGGUUGAUUUCUCAAUUUGGUGCCGUUAUUGGGGUUUGAUUUUACAAACUUCAUCAGGUAUUUAUUGUUUGAUCUCAGUCAGACAGCUUAAGUUGUAGGAACAUCUUUAUCAGGAUUACUGGUUCGGUGAUGUUAAUGUACAAGCAUGCUCUGUUUUCAGUGAUUAUGAUGGAGUAAUAGACAAGUAUGAGAUGAGGAGGGGUCGGUUUGCAAAGGACGGACUGAUUCAGUACCGGAUUGUAUGCCAACAAGUUAAUGCUGGUUCUCUGGAAGAGGUGAUCAAAUACUUUUUACAUCUUCCAACUGAGAAAGCUGGGAAUGCAAAGACCCAAAAACCAUCUUGCAAAUCUUAACAAAUACAAGGACUAGAGAGACAGGCCUGACUUAUUGUUACCGGAAACUUACAACUGUACCAAGACACGAGGUUUGAGCAGCUCAAAAUUGCAACUGAGCUUGAACUUUGGCAGCUGUAAUUGAUAGUUUGUUCUCCAAUGGCAUUAUGAUAAGGCGAAGGCCAUAUUCUUAACCCCUGCUGUUCGAGCCAAAUCUCUUGGUGCAAUAUCAUCUCUGAUUCGACACAACAAGCCUGGAGUUGUUGCAUUCACGCUGGCAAAUGAUUACGGAGCUUUGAGAGAAGCACUAGGUUCAGACAAGUUAGGAUUCAAAGGUAAUUUUCUCCAACACUUGAUUAAUUUGAUUUCUUUUUGUUGUUUGCAUACUGGAAAGUCCAACACUUGAUUUAUUAACAAACAUGUCUUCUUUUGUUGAUAUCUAUGAUUCUGAAGAUUACGCUACUAAUUGACUCUUUAACCUAGUGUUGAAUUUAAAACUAUCCCAAGUGAGUUUCAUGAUAACCAGGAAAACUCUCAACUUGGUUUAGUACCUGCUACAAGAGAGAACAGUUCAGAUUGUAAUGUGAUAACGGAACUAGGAUUUCCUCGUACUAUGAGAAAUAUCCCAUUCAAUGGAAAUAAUCCAGUUCAGGUGCAAUUAUGUUAGUUCAUAGUAUUUACUUAUGAACCUUGGUAGCUAUUCGUUAUGGCGUAUGAUUGAUGUAAUCAAGGAGAGAUGAAAUACAAGGAGAUUAUAAUGGGAACUACAAACGAGUUUUUAUUACAUGACAGUUAACAUCAAGGAGAACACAAGGUGGCGAUACUGGAAAUGCUUGUGCUGCUCAACUGGGUAUAAUCCAUAACGAAAGAGCUGAGAUUAAACUACAACGUACAUCUGGUUUACUUGAAAGAUAAGCAUUCCUUUACGUUACUUAUACCCCCAUAUGAGUUUGAAUUACUAAGACCUUAAUCUGGUAUGCUUCUUGUGAGCGAAAGCAUACAAAGUUGAUCUGUGACAUGUAAAGUUCACUGCAUAGCUUAACUUAGCUUGACCAGGUAAUAGGCUCACUGCAUAGCUUUUCGAGUUUUUUUAAAAGUUAUUCUCAAUUCAUAUAGCUCAUUUGGACAUAACUUGUCUUAUAGUUCAUCUAGUGAUGUUAUUUUCUAUCACACAGGACCAGCUAUUGAUCCAACUUUUCCAUGGUGUUUACUGUGAAAGUUCUGUUAUAAAACACUUACUUACGUUUUACAUAUUCUAUUGUCCUGAGUCUUCUAUUUUAUUUUGAUUAUGUUUGAAGCUUUUCGCUUGUGUUCUUUAUCCUCAAAAGAGUUUGUUGUUUCAAUAGGAGCCUCUUAGAAUUAGUUAGGUACUUCGCUUAUUCAUGCUAGAGUACUGAGCCUUAGUUAGUAUCUCCAUCUACUACCCUGUUGUCGGAUACAAUUUGUCGUGAUUCAAAACCUAUUGAAGAAAGUUAUAUGUCACUGAAAGCACAUAAGUUUCUUUGGUAUCUAUCUGUGAUUGUUAACCUGCAUCCUGUAUAAUUCUAAUAUUGUAAUUGACAUGAUAAAUAAGCUUUGAGAUUUAUCACAUCAAUUGUUUUUCUUUAUCUGUGACUUGUGAUCUGUCUUGUAAAUAAGCUCAUAUAGAUUCUUAUAGCAUAUCUUAAUCCUAGAGUUACUUAUACUCCAUCUUGAUCUGGCUUCUUUGAGAACUGAGUGAAUGAUGAUAAGUGACUCAUUGUGCUAUAAUUAAAACUGUAUCGUACUGUCCAAGUUUAUUUUGGUCAACUGAUAUUGAAAACGUUUUUGUUGCAGGUGCACUGAAGUGUAGGCUCAUCAUCAGAGUAUCGUUUUGUUGUUUAAUCAAUUGUCUAUUAUUAGUGCAUGUUGUUGUUUAAGCUUAGAACUUGCUAGCUUGGACAUGUAUUGUUCUGGACUCAGGAUUUCCUCCUUUUUUGUGUAAUUUAAACCCAAUGGAUUGAAUGAAUGAAUGUUGAAUUUGAAGUUUGACUUAAAUUUGAAGUUCCAUUUGACUUUCA